UNUGACUUGAGUGCAGAAGGGGAGAGUGGAAUUCCAUGUGUAGCGGUGAAAUGCGUAGAUAUAUGGAGGAACACCAGUGGCGAAAGCGGCUCUCUGNUCUGUCACUGACGCUGAGGCUCGAAAGCGUGGGUAGCGAACAGGAUUAGAUACCCUGGUAGUCCACGCCGUAAACGAUGAGUGCUAGGUGUUAGGCCCUUUCCGGGGCUUAGUGCCGGAGCUAACGCAAUAAGCACUCCGCCUGGGGAGUACGACCGCAAGUUGAAACUCAAAGGAAUUGACGGGGGCCCGCACAAGCGGUGGAGCAUGUGGUUUAAUUCGAAGCAACGCGAAGAACCUUACCAGGUCUUGACAUCCCGAUGCUAUUCUUAGAGAUAGGAAGUUACUUCGGUACAUCGGAGACAGGUGGUGCAUGGUUGUCGUCAGCUCGUGUCGUGAGAUGUUGGGUUAAGUCCCGCAACGAGCGCAACCCUUAUUGUUAGUUGCCAUCAUUAAGUUGGGCACUCUAGCGAGACUGCCGGUAAUAAACCGGAGGAAGGUGGGGAUGACGUCAAAUCAUCAUGCCCCUUAUGACCUGGGCUACACACGUGCUACAAUGGUCGGUACAACGAGUUGCGAGCCGGUGACGGCAAGCUAAUCUCUGAAAGCCGAUCUCAGUUCGGAUUGAAGGCUGCAACUCGCCUCCAUGAAGUCGGAAUCGCUAGUAAUCGCGGAUCAGCACGCCGCGGUGAAUACGUUCCCGGGCCUUGUACACACCGCCCGUCACACCACGAGAGUUUGUAACACCCGAAGUCGGUGAGGUAACCUUUUAGGGGCCAGCCGCCUA
This 823-nucleotide ribosomal RNA is filed under the name uncultured bacterium. Its description in RNAcentral is "bacterial SSU rRNA". It matches the Rfam family "Bacterial small subunit ribosomal RNA", at positions 636 to 1459 of the family's 1533-position model. The record is from RNAcentral.